This is a small nuclear RNA of Sorex araneus (European shrew), 191 nucleotides long. Its record names the gene U2. It matches the Rfam family "U2 spliceosomal RNA". From Rfam's summary of the family: U2 is a small nuclear RNA (snRNA) component of the spliceosome (involved in pre-mRNA splicing). Complementary binding between U2 snRNA (in an area lying towards the 5' end but 3' to hairpin I) and the branchpoint sequence (BPS) of the intron results the bulging out of an unpaired adenosine, on the BPS, which initiates a nucleophilic attack at the intronic 5' splice site, thus starting the first of two transesterification reactions that mediate splicing. The record is from Ensembl. Lineage: Eukaryota; Metazoa; Chordata; Mammalia; Eulipotyphla; Soricidae.
AUUGUUUCUGGGCCUUUUGGCUAAGGUCAAGUGUUUUAUCUGUUCUUAUCAGCUUGAUAUCUGAUACAUCCUCUAUCUGAAGACAAUAUAGUAAAUGGAUUUUUGGAGCUAGGAGUUGGAAUAGGAGCUUGCUCCAUCCACCUUGCACAUCGACCUGGUAUUGCAGUACGUCCAGGAAUGGUGCACCAAAA